GUAAAAUUUUGCUUAGUUUUAAACCUACACCCCAGAUACAGGAUGUACUAGAGAUGGUUCUGGCUCUAACAAGAACACUGUGCCUACCACAAAGAUUUGAUUCCUACCUACAUAGUGCCUUGUGAUGAUUCCUGUAUUUUUGCCUUAAAUGGAAUUUAUGGAGAAGACAUUUUUGAGAUGCAGUCUUAGAGAUUAGUGAAGAUUUAACUAAAACAUUGAUACUACAUGGUCUAAAUGAGGCAGAGAGAGCAUUUUAGAUGUGAUUCCGGGCCACCACAUUGCAUCAUUCUAGGAGCUGCCAUUGACAUUGUCUUCUUUGCAUGCCCCAAGGAGUGUUCAUCCCCAUAAUAGAAAAUGAUAAGGCAAGUUACUUAACCUCUCUUUUAAUUUGCUGUUAUUUGUAUCUUUCAGGGUUGCUUGAGAAGUAAAUUAAAGAAGAUAAAAAAUAACAUAGUGCGCAAUGCACAGAAUGCGUCCCAAAACACUAGUUUUUUUCCUCUCUAAUCAUUCUUACAGAAUGCCUGAUGAAAUCUUGUUACUUCUGCCACCAGAUGUAACUGAAAUAGCUUGGAAUAUUUGGUUUGUUUAAGCCACUGGAACUCACUGGACUAUUUUUAACUAAUAUUAGUAAGAAGGAAAUUCUGUUCACUUACAAUUAAGGAAGCCUACAAAAGUUGUCUUUUCAUUAAAAAGAUAAUAUGCAUUUAGGUAGUCAUCUAACUCCUACUUAAAGCAGCAUGUCUGUUCAAACAUCCUUUAUUUUCUUAAUUUGUCUCAAAAGAGGUUUGCUUUAUCUUAAGG
RNAcentral lists this long non-coding RNA (801 nucleotides) under Homo sapiens (human). RNAcentral describes it as "HSALNT0086937". Lineage: Eukaryota; Metazoa; Chordata; Mammalia; Primates; Hominidae. The record is from RNAcentral.